GGUGGAGGCGGGGGGGUUGGCUGGGUUGCAGGGUGGUAAUACGUAUAAAUAAAUUGCAACCCCCUUGCUAGCUGUAUCAGCAGAACAGCCAGGGACUGACUGACGGCCUUGGCAGCUCUCCAGCCUAGAAGUGGUCCAUCCCGCACACCGGAGGUACCUUGGCAUUGGGCACAGGGUGGGAGUAGCUGGCUUUGCUGCAGCUUGUGCCCGGUUCGAGAAUGUCCCACUCCCUCACUCAGCUGAGGUUUUAAAAGCCUGGCCAAACUGGGGUGCUGGAGAAGGGGUGUACCCUUGUCAUCUCAGGGCAAGCCACUGCCACGCCUGAUGUCAGCUGCGAGCAGAGGUCACGCUGUCUCUCUCAAGCCCUUGGAUCCAUGCAAAAUGGAGUUAACUGUGGAAAUGCCACCCCACUCCUCCGCCCUUCUUGACAGACAUUACCAAGUGCUGCUAGGUCCCGAACAGUGAUGGGCCUGUUGGCGCCUGCAUUCAGCCUGCCGGUGUAAAAUUCAGCCCGGCACAAUGCAGCUCUUGUGAAAGGCAGGCCUGCCUGGGGCCGCCAGCCACACCUCGAGGAAGCACAGAGCCGCGCGGCACGGGCUGGUGAGUGAGAUGAACUCACUAGCAGAAUCAACAUUAGCCAGAGAAGGGUUCUCUCCUCGGUGCCGUCUGCUGCUCCACCCCCAUCAUUUGUAUUUCAUGCUUCCCCAAUGCAGACGGCCUGGGAAGCCACUAAAAAUAGGCACUCGUGAGUAAGGGAGAGAAGGUUACAGGCUCUGGGGUAGUCUUGAGGCAGCUGCAUGUCACUGCUGCCACGAGAACACCCUGUCGUAGUGUCUCAGAUGGGCCCUGGCCCAAAGCAGGCAGCAGAGAGGCUGUGGAGAAGGGUGGAACAGGAAAUAACAGCCGUCACAGAGGAAGUGGUGAGAGCACAGGGCUGGGAGUCAGGAAUCCGAGGUGCUGUUCUUAGCUGUGCCAGUGACUCAGGACGUGGGGAAGGAGGCGGAGAAGUCCAAUGUUUUCCACUUCAUUCCGGCUGGCGGUUCCCACCUUUUCUAUUCCCCCCAACAGCUGUGGCUGCACGUGCCCUGUAUGAAGCCUGCACUGAACAGGGGCAGACGGUCUCCUGGGAGCCUGGUGUGAUGCUGCCCCAGGCUGCUAGAUGGCAGCAAAUGCUCCAGAGACUGAAAGCAGCUGGCUUCAUGCAGCUGCAAUAGGGAGAGCUGGUGAAAGUGGGUCUCACCCACCCAGACUUCACCCAACCCAGACUGCAAGGGGCAGGGAGAGAUAGGGAAGCGGGGGAGGCCUGUGGUCAGCCUGGAUCUUUACACACAUGAAUUCUAGGGUGAGGCCAGAUAGUCAAAGAGUCUGAGUCACAACUAGGUUAGUGAAGAAUAGGCCUGAAUUCUGUUUGCUGGCCCAUAGGGGGGUUUCUAUUGUCUCUGGACAGCCUCAGUGAGAUUCAGCCAAUGGUUUGCAAAUCCCAACAUUUCCCCUCAUUUUGUUGCAAAUGUUUGCCCGAAAAUUCAAACUGGAAUUUCAUGAUCUGUCCUCCUGUUUUAACUAGCUUCAGACAGCCAAUCAGAGAGCAGCAACACAACUAGGGACAGCGAGACGUUAAAUUACAAAGCUAUUCGUAAGGGAAAUUAUUUGAAGAAUAUUGUAACAAAGACAUUCUCAGCAACUGAGGUCAGAUUGCAAAUGGGUCUUCAGCCAAGGAAGGGGCUAAAUUCAUGAUGAAUUGUACUUGAAAUAAUAUUUUGAUUAGGUCUAAGUAAUUCUCCGAACCCCUGGUCUCCCACCCGCAAGGAGCAUGCUCACAAGUGUGCAUGUAUGUAGUUGUUUUACAGAUAGUGUCACUGAGACAUGGAGCUAGACUGCUUUGUUCAACACACAGGGAGAGAGAGGAGAGAAAUGAACCCAGGAAAAGGGCUGGUUGAAAAAUUUCCCUCAAAACUGUUUUUUUGAGCUGGGUGAAACCUUGUUAUUGGUCGUAUUAAAAAGCUUGUGUGAAUGCACCCUUCAGUUAACAUAAUGUAAGGCUAAAUUAAUCACAAGCCUUCGUCUAAAGCCAAAGGGUAACGUGAACCCACCCAGGGGUUUUGGAUUGUGUGGGUGGAAGUGCUUUGCUGAAUAUUGUUUUGGAAGAGAGAGAGAGAGCAAGGGAGAAAAAGGGUGAACUCCGAGGACCAGCGAGCCACAGACAGCCUGAAGGAGUAGCUGAAAUCAUGGUCUCUGACCCUGGAAGAAGCCUGGGGAGAGGGUUUUGGGGCAAAGGUGCAGGCUGCAAAGCGUGCCCCUGGAGCUGUGAGCAAAAGAAGCUGCUUCCUACUAUUGAUUCCUUCUGCGUUCAGAGGCACAGGACUUUGUACAUUCUUUGUAAAUAAAACUGCAUCCAAGAAAUACUUGACCAAUUCCUCUGCCUAACUGGAACAACCUACUACCCCUCACGUUUUUGGCUAGCCACAUGGCUCAAAAAGGGUAGUAUUGUGUUUUAAUAGGAAUUGGAUUGUCAACUAAAUGGCAUUUUGCAUGAAAAGUGCCGGCUUUCGAUGCAAAAUUGGAUUAUAAUUUUUUUUGGGUCAAAAAACCAAAUACCUAAAACGUGAAAUAUUUGGAUAUUCCACCACGGUGCCUCAUAUACCUCAUGACCCCAUUCUCCUCUCUGGGUCGGGCUCCUACAUCCCAUGACCCGGGACUUCCAUGAUACAACUGCCUUGCUCCACCAUGAGGAGACAUGGGGCAUCAUGGGAGAUGUAGUCUGACUAGGGAGCACAAUCUUAUUAGGAGCAGGAGACACCCAAACUACAACUCCUGUGAGGCACCAGGGCAGCAUUUCCAAAUCAGAAUAUUUAAAUUUUGAUUUUGUUGCUGAAAAGUUGAAAUUUGCCAUGGAAGAAAGUCCUUAUUCCCCCUAUUUCAGCCUAACCUUGAGGAACCAGGGUGCCUAAGACCCAGGGAACUGGAGCAGGCAGCCCAUUCUCUGCUAAUUUCUACGCUUCUCCUUAACCUUCCCUGCUUUUUUCUUAAGGCUGGUUAAUUUUUGUUAGUUGUCUCCCUCCUAUUGUGCCCUGCUGGUCUGUGCCUUGCAGAUGUCUGUCUGUGCGCUGCAGACCCAGGGUAAGUAUGCAGAGACUCCCCUUUCUCCUAACACCAUCGCAGAGCAUGCUAUAAUGCAGCAAAAUUAACAAAACUUUGUCAGCUGCAGACUUUUACUUUUCCUCACUUUGCAAGGCACCAGCAAGCCACCUUGAGGGAGCUCAAGGGACCCUCAGGAUGUCACUGAUCCAUCCGAACAUACACAAAUAGGGCAGCAGGCACAGGGUCACUCACGGGCAGAGGCUGGCCAGGAAGCAGCCACGUGGCUCUGAAGGCAUGAUCCCAGGCCCAUGAUCACAUGCUCGGCUGCCUGCCUGUCAGCACUGCCCUGGUGUGCCAAGAAAGCUUGUGGAUUUAGCAUGCCCAGGUAGACAGAGGGCAACUGCUGACUUUAGGUUUCAGUUCUCUGGGGAGGCAGGAGGGGUCCCCGCUCUGCGUCGUUAAGACUUGGCACAUUCGCGGUAAAAAAAAACCUUCUUGGCAUCUUUUGCUCCUGUGACGCGCGUAACCAGCCCUAGUGACAUGAUGCUGAAUUGUGCUGAGCCCAUAAUAAUGUGGAGGCCGUAACAGCACGUCUCAUCUGUAAAUCUAGAGCCUGCACUCCCUGGCUUCCUAUCACAGAGGCUUUUCUGCUGGGUUCUGGCUUGCUUGGCCUGUGUCGGGGGCUGCCAUGAUGAGAAUGGGCCUUCAGUCUGGUGGGAGGGAUUUAGCCUGGGCUGUAUGGUGAACGGGGAGAGGGAAGGCUGGCGGUUGGGGCUUGGGAAGCAGGGAGGCUGUGAAAAGAGGCACAGGCAAGUGGUUAGGGCUCCUUUGCAAAUCAGUUCCCAGUGUCUAGGCCAUAAGAGGAUAAACACCUGCACCUGUAACGGCCAGACAGCUGGGUCUGCUUGAUAGACACCCCCAGCCAGAGGUUCACAGUGCUCCCGAGUCGCUCUUUCUCGCCAGACUCUGUCACUGAAUAUGGGAGCUGGCUGGCUGGGUUUAGAAACCCCAUGAAACCAAGCCCCAGUUAGGGUGACCAGAUGUCUUGAUUUUUAUAGGGACAAUCUCAGUAUUUGGGGCUUUGUCUUAUAUAGGCACCUAUUACCCCCCACACCCGUCCUGGUUUUUCACAUUGGCUAGCUGGUCACCCUAACCCCAAUGUGGCUGCAGCGACGUGAACCGAUUGGCCAGGUGCACAAGCAAAACAGUCGGCCACAUGGGGGGCCCCGCCUCAUCCCAUGCAAAUUUCCAGUCAUGAAGCAGACCUCUUUCCCUUGCUGGAAGCAGGGCACAGUGUAUGUGGGGCAGGGGGGUGGAAUCCCUGGCUCAAUGCUUCUCCACACCACACGCCCCUUCCCGGCUCGCAGCUCAGGGGGUGUCUACACUGCAGCUGGAGUGUCCUUCCCAGCGCGGGGUGGAGAUGGACACACGCUAGCUCUGCCUGAGCUCGUACGCUAAAAAUAGUUGUGCGGCUGCGGCAGCACAUGCGGCAGCUCGGGCUGCUUGGCCAAGUCCGCACCGGAGGCGGGUUUGUUCUCGGGUGACUAGCCUGAGCCGCACCUGGGUGCUGCAGCCACACUGCUAUGUUUAGUGCGCUAGCUCCAGCAGAGCCGACGAGUGUGUCUACCCGCGCCGGGAAGCACCCCUCCGGCUGCAAUGUAGACACACCAUUACAGCCCCACUGACCAUAGGACUGGCCUCGGAAACCAUUCUGAUCUGCGGAUGAGCCACCUGCAUCCUAUUUAUUCUCUCAUCUCUGCCCCUGCUGGGCUUGGGAAGGUCAGGGCCGUCCCGGCGCCUCAGUUUCCCCAUCUGUAAAAUGGGGAUACUGAGCUCCUCUGUAAAGUGCUUGGAGAGCGACUGAUGAAAAGCACUACGUACGGGCCAGGUAUUAUUAAUGUAGUGCAGUGGUUUUCAGCCUGUGGUCUGUGGCCCUCUGGGGGUUUGCAGACUAUGUCUAAGCUUUCCAAAAGGGUCCACACCGCCAUUCAAAAAUUUUUAGGGGUCCCCAAAUGAAAACAGGUUGAAAACUACUGUUGUAGUGUAAUGGCUUUGUUGGCCUAACAUUGGGCUUGCCGCAUUGCUUGUGAACAGCAAAGUCAUGACUGAGCUAUGCAGGGCAUCCUACAUGAGUGCCAGGAAAAACAAAGCCUUUAGCCUACGCCAUAAGGUAUUCUCUUUGUCACAGCAGAACUAUUUUAGAAAUGUUUUAGCAUGGCUUAAAAUCAUUGCCUGGUCCCAUUUUCUGUCUGCACCUGCAAAGCCAGGAUCCUUGGAGGCUGUGAGCCCAAUUGUACACGGCUCAGAACUACUUUUAUUCUAAUCAUUUCCAGAAACCUGUUAUAUUAUCUGCCAUAACUCUUCUGGAAUGCAUCAGUGUUAGGGUUUGCGUGUAUCACAGGGUGGGGAUGUGUGUGUGUGUAUAUAUAUAUGUGUAUAUAUAUAUAUAUACACACACCCACACAAACUCACAUUGACUUCAAUGAAAGUUAGGCUCCUAAAUACCUUUGAGGAUCUAGGCUUACAAUCCCUGCAAAGGCAGGAUACUGCCGCUGUUAAAGGACAUCACAGAUUUAAACUGGUAUUAGCCAAAUUACAUAAACACACUGAGCCAAUUUUUCUUCCCUUUACCUCUUUUAUGAUGUGAGGCUGCUCAGAUAUAUACACGGGUUUAGUUAGGACACUGAAAAUGGAAUGUGCUUAAAUAUUUAUUUGUAAAUGGAAGAAAAGUCAAAUGCAGGGUUAUGAAGCGGAAGGCCUAGAAUGUCAUUGGCAGACAACUAAUAAUUUUGUAUUGUAUAGCAGUGAUUCCACCCGCAUAUCCGAUUAUUGUUUCUGUCACGCUCUUUAAUAGCUGUAAGGUGCUCUAUAAGCACUGACUUGCCGUGGUAGUGGGGCCCUGAUCCUUCAAUAAACAAUCAUUGUGUUUCAAAAAGUAGUUUUUGUCCCUACUUGAAAUGUAAUCUGCGCUCAGCAGAGAGCCAAAGUUCCUGGGUACUUCUCUUCCCUAGGUUACUGGUGAACCGCUCAUCUAAACAGAUAGAGCUUGGUGUGGACACAGGAAAAGAGGCCUGACGGCUAGCCAGGCUGAUCUGGGCAGACGCGCUGACACCAACUCUCGAAACUUACUUGCUACAUGGAAGUUUUUUUUUUUCCUGAUUACAAAAAUAUAUAGCACCUUGUCUGUAUCUCAGAGCACUGGACCAAACUGAGCCAGGACCAGGACUCCUCUCCAUUAGUUCUAUGUAGAUAUGGAGCCUAAUUCAGCUAAGCUGCUAGUUCUCUGUGUAUGUGUUGAUUCUGGCUGGAUUUGAAAGGGCUAAAAUCUGCCCCAUGGCAGCUGCUGAACAAAUUGCCAGGCCUUUUCCCCUGGCACUUGUGGAGGACUGUCGGGGAAGCGCAGAUCCCCUUGAAAUGAACCUAGCGCUAAGGCCUCAGACCAUCUCAUUUCACGGCUGAGAGCCCUGUGACCCCUUUUCAUAGCCGCAAAAAUCCCUGCCCUUUGUUAGAGGCUGUCUCUCUGACCAUCUGAUGCCACAACAGUAGAGAUCACCUGAGCCUGAUAUUUUGCCACCUUCAUGGCCAAGCCAAAGGACCAAGCCUGCGUAGAGGAAACUGAUGUUAUUAAAAUUGGCCCUGUUCAAUUAUCAAACCGAUAAGGGAUCGGUGCAAUAGGACGCUGUAGGGUCAGUGCUGGGAGGAGUCGAUGGCAAAAAUCAGGACUGGCUAUCUGGGUACAACCCUGCAUCUUCCUGGCUGUUCCGGAGGGAGCCAAACACUGAAGUGACUAGCAGCCAAGCAGGGAGAUGCUGUGUUCACACCUACUAGAGGCAACAGGCUCCUCGUUUGGCACUGUACCAACAACAGGGGCUGCCAGUUUAACUAAGGAGGUGGACAGGCUGGUCUUGCCCACUUCAGAGUGGCUUGUCUGUUCUCUUUUCCAUCCGGAGUGGUGAAGGAGCUGAGCCAGGCUGCUCACCUGGCCCGCAGCACCCACCAGAGCUUGCACUAGGCAUCACUUUGCACUUUGCAGUGCACACGUACCCCUGUCCCACGCAUGUCGGGCUUGCUCUCACUUUGGUUACUGUGCCUUAGUUUUAUCGGGCUGCAGUAUCGGGGGCAAAAGCUAAAGGCAAGGGGUUACAUUCAUCUCUGGUGGGACUGCGCUGAAGCCAAAGGAUUUACAUCGAGGGUAGAGAUGUGAAACAUGCCCUGACUGAAGGCGACAGACCAAGCUUCACCGAGGCCUGCGCUUUGCCUGGGGCCCGUGCCAGGAAGAGGAGCACAGAGAGGGAAGCACCUACGGGGACCAUUGUGGUCAUCUUGUCUGAUUUCCAGAGCAACGCAGGCUUUAGAAUUUCACCCAUGAUUCCUUCAUCAAACCCAUGACUUCUGGUUGAGCUAGAGCAUUUCUUCUAGAAAGGCAUCCUGUCUUGAUGUAAAGGCUUCCAGUGACGGAGAGUCCAACACAUCCGUAAUCUGAAGAAAGAGAGAUCCUGUGCCGCGAGCCAAGAAAAAUACAGAAGACACGAGACCUGGGCCAGAUUGUUUCCUAGUGAGAAUGUGCUCCAGCAGGCGUGGAAGGAUGCAACGCUGAGCGUCCUUCACUCCCACUGAAGACGACGUGGACUGAGGACGCUAAGAGCCUUGCAGGGUCCGGCUGAAUCUGGCAAUGGCCCCAACACCUUCUAGGAAGGGAAGGCCGGAGGAGGAGAACAGUCUGGAGAUUAAGGCAUGAGCUGGAAAUUGGCUUCUAUUCUUGCUCUGCCAAAGACUUCCUGAAAGAUCUUGCUACACUGCAGUGAUCAGAGUCUAUAGCAAAACUCCAGCUGAACUCCCAGGGAGCAGGAACAGGCCCUGAACCGCUACAUGCCAGCUGUAAAAUGAGAUGAAAGAUACUUUCCUGUUUUCCCGGGACCACAGGUGCUGACUUUUGUUUUUGCCGGGCCUGUUCCGAGGAUGACUGUAGCCGAAGAAGGACUCCCACUGAUUUCAGCGAGCUUUGAGGCAGGCCUUGAAUACUUAUCAGGAUGUAAAAAGCCAAAAUGAAACCCGGGGUUACAAUGACCUCAGGCAAGGGACAAGCGACAGGAGCAGAUCAGCUCUUCAAGACGCUAAUAGCAUCAGUGCCUUUGAGAGGAGAGGCAACUACAUGAUCUACGGCAGAAGCAGCAUACAUCCCACGAAGCUUCAGUUGCAGUUUGAGCUUUUUGCUGAUGAGUUACUGCAGAAAACCCAGCAUCCCACACAGCUGUACUUCAGGCUGACCGCUAAUGAAAAUUUUUAGUCCAGUUGGCACACUCGGGCUGAGGGCCACUGCAGAUGGCAUCGGGUUUCUUUAACCUACUCAGAGCUUGAAAAAUGUGUCCUUGAUUUCAGUCCCCAGGAACGUAGGCCUGGACUUCUUUGCCGUCUAAUGGAUCUUUUAUUUGAUCUGCUCGUCCAAACACGCUGGGCAUGUGCUUGGGUCACUUAGGGAAAGCUGAACCCCGCUCAUGUUCUCACAGGGUAAUCCCUUCAUGCUGAUGUCUAUAUUGCAGCAGGUAACAAAAUCCAUGCAGAUUCAUGCCAGCAGCUGACCGUCCCACACAAGCCCGGUUCAACUGUGGCAGCCCGUGGGCCAAGCUUCUGCCUAAUGGGAAGUGAAGUGGUGGAGAUAUUAAUCCCAGGAAAAAAGGACUUUCUAGUGAAAACCCUUGGGGACCCUUCAAUCAAGGGAGUGACUGCAUUUUAGGUGUGGUCUCUGAGCCAGCUGGAUAAACUACCGGUGGCAGCCUCAGGAAGCAGUUCUAUGCUGGAGCAUGGAAGAGGGCUUAGCACCCAUUCCACCUGAACACCAGCAUUGGCUCUACUUGGAAACUCCCCACGAGGACACCAGAGGAGAGAGAAAACCGGCCUCCAAAGAUGCCAGAAGUGGAUAAGAGGCAACUGGUCCUUCCCUGCAAGAAGACAACACCAGAGCAAUGAUACUUUGAACUUCUUUCAUCCAACGAUCUCCAAGUGAUUUUCAGAUAUUCAUUAGAUAAGCUUCACGUCCACCCCAGAGGUGGGGCUUUAAGAAAAAGAGCAAAUAUCAUAUGCUCAAGAAAAAAUUGCGAGACCCGAGAGCACUACAUUUAGGCACAACAAGUGGCUAAAGUUUCAAAAAGGCUCAACACGACCAUGGCACAGAUUUCAGGUGGCCAGAAAUGCUGCUCGGCACCAUGUGCACGUUCAGAGCCCCGGGCGCAGCUCCGCCUGGCUGAGCGAGCAGGGCACUUGCACAGCUGUACGACUUCAGACAUUCCUGGUGAUUCUGCAAAGUUUGAAGAUUCGUGGAGACCCGCUUUCCGCAGAGACCCUCCGAAGCACUAACACACAAAUACCUCCCAAGGAAGUAACAGAAGAAGAAAAUGUAUUUCCACAACAGGCAGUCAAAGCAGGAGGAAUAAACGUCCUCCCAGAGCAGCCGACAGCUAAGGCCGUCAUGUUUUUCCAAGCAGGACCACUCUGGGAAGCAGUACUUCUGCGAACGGAGCAGGCAGACAACACAGCUGCAUGCAGAUCUGAUAUUUCUGCUCUUGGAACAAGGUUAAGGAGCAGAACCCAAAAGACUGAAAUUCCAUUCACAGGGCGAAAAGCAACCUUCUACUUUCUGCCAGAGUGAUUUGACUCAUCAUCUAUUGGACCAAAUCCUCUGCUGGGGUAAAUAGGCAAUGUCUGUUCGACUUGUGCCAGGGUCAGAAAAGAGAGGGUCGUUGGAAGGUUCCUUUUUCAUGCCAAGCAGCCUUUUGGGUUUGCACCGACACCUGCUUCCAUUCUGCCUCGUUGGACUGGCGUGUUGGAGACGGGGUUUGGGUUUUUCCCAGAAUGAAAACUAGACCGCGGAGGAACAGACACUAAACAAGAGUAGUUACUGAAGAAGAUCAGCUUCUACACAGAGACAGCCAGCCUGGUCUGGAACUGUCAUGCAAGCAAGUUGUCUUCUUUAAGUAAAACUCAUUAAUGUCAAUGAGUCUGGUAGCGAGUAAGUUAUUACUCAUGCGAGUAAAUGUUGGAUAAAUUGAUACAGACACUGUGCUACGGUGAUGGGCAUCUUAUAAAUGCAUGUAAUAAUAAGGCUCAAUCCUGCUGUCUGCAGGCAGAUGGACCCCCUGUUCCCAUCUGGAGUCCCACAGAAGUCAGUAGUCAGAAGUCUGUCCAGGUGCAGGGCUCUGUCCAUGUGCAGCAAGUAGCAGGAUCAGGGCCAUAUGUGUGUAUAUAGAGAGAGUGAGAAGGUGGGUGAAGUAAUAGCUUUUAUGGGACCAAGUUCAGCUGGCAAAAGAGACAAGCUUUCAAGGCGACCCAGAACACUUCUUACACCGACUCCUACAUGUGAAGACAGAGUGGCGUGCACUUACGUCAGACAACACUGAUUCAAACAUAUUUCUGCUGCAAUCGAGCUGAUAAAUGCCACGACUCUUUAAAAGGUCUGGAGCGGCACAAUAUACAGCUGACAUACUUAGCGCUAAUUAUUAUAUAUUGUGUUCUACCAGUGAGUUUAACUGGUACCAGGAUGUGGCCAGUUGUGUGAGUUUAAAUAGAUUUUAUAGAAUUACACACAGCCUCAUCCGACAAACAGUGGCGGAUUAAUGAUUUUGCCGCCCCGUAGGCCCAGAAAUAAUUGCCGCCCCCCCGCCAGCAGCUCCCCGCCCCAGCUCACCUCCGCUCCGCCUCCUCCCCUGAGCACGCUGCCGGGUCUUGCUUUUCCCCACUCCCUGCCAGUGCUUAUGCACGAAACAGCUUCGCGAAGGAGGGGGGAACACGGCGCGCUCAGGAG
This is a long non-coding RNA of Chelonia mydas (Green sea turtle), 10876 nucleotides long. RefSeq lists it as uncharacterized. The record is from RefSeq and is a predicted model, not a curated record. Lineage: Eukaryota; Metazoa; Chordata; Testudines; Cheloniidae. The transcript has 15 exons.